CUGCGGCCAGACGGGACGGCCGGACCCGUGACAGAAGUCUCUUUGCUUCCCAACCCGGAUGGAGACGUCUCCAGAACCUGGAGGGACACGUGCAUUUUCUCCCUCUUGGACUCUACCUCACCGGUCUGGAAGUCCUCCGAAGACUUUUUCAAUUUUUUUCUCCAAAGGAAUUUGUUUUCGUGCUUGUGUAAUAAAGCCAGAAUUUUACUUGCUCCUUAAUUCCCCUUCUGUUUUCUUUUUGACUGUCAGCCCCACUUUCUGGACAGAAGAUCGACUAUGUUUCCUGGUGAAGUGCUGGUGUACGCUCAGGGUAUUCUGAAGCCCACUCGUUUUCUAAUUUUUACUGGAUUCCAAAGCUUUGAUCAAGGUCGUCUCUUUUAAGAGUUUCAAGCUUAUGACUGUUAAUGUAAGGAUUUGUAUGGCUUUGAAUUUCAUGAGCUCAGUGAUUACCAAGAGAUGCAAAGUACAACUUAAAAAAAAGUUAAGGUGUUUAUAUAUAAAGUUUUAUAUUGAAGUUUAAUAUUUAUAUUUACUGAGCUCCUUAAGUAAAAUGGUAGAAUAUUCUUUAAAAGUUUUGUUUUAAGAAAAGUUGACUUACUUUAUUCAUUUUAAUUGAAUAAAAUUGAAGUGUUUUGAACCACAUGACUUGUGAUAAAAAUUGAAUAAAUUUUGAAUAUGUUGGCUACAAGAAUGACUGGAAUCCAGUUGGAGGUGAUUUGACCUCACGUCCUGGUCUAAAAUAAAAUUCAGGAUUGUUGAUGGGAAGAGAAU
Molecule: long non-coding RNA, 771 nt
Filed under: Rattus norvegicus (Norway rat)
Lineage: Eukaryota; Metazoa; Chordata; Mammalia; Rodentia; Muridae
Description: long non-coding RNA NONRATT024221
Source: RNAcentral